GACGAACGCUGGCGGCGUGCUUAACACAUGCAAGUCGAACGGAAAGGCCCUGCUUUUGUGGGGUGCUCGAGUGGCGAACGGGUGAGUAACACGUGAGUAACCUGCCCUUGACUUUGGGAUAACUUCAGGAAACUAGGGCUAAUACCGGAUAGGAGCUCCUGCUGCAUGGUGGGGGUUGGAAAGUUUCGGCGGUUGGGGAUGGACUCGCGGCUUAUCAGCUUGUUGGUGGGGUAGUGGCUUACCAAGGCUUUGACGGGUAGCCGGCCUGAGAGGGUGACCGGCCACAUUGGGACUGAGAUACGGCCCAGACUCCUACGGGAGGCAGCAGUGGGGAAUAUUGCACAAUGGGCGGAAGCCUGAUGCAGCAACGCCGCGUGCGGGAUGACGGCCUUCGGGUGGUAAACCGCUUUCGCCUGUGACGAAGCGUGAGUGACGGUAAUGGGUAAAGAAGCACCGGCUAACUACGU
RNAcentral lists this ribosomal RNA (467 nucleotides) under uncultured bacterium. RNAcentral describes it as "partial 16S ribosomal RNA". It matches the Rfam family "Bacterial small subunit ribosomal RNA", at positions 28 to 506 of the family's 1533-position model. The record is from RNAcentral.